This 77-nucleotide transfer RNA is filed under the name Methylobacterium sp. Leaf91. RNAcentral's name for it is "tRNA-Thr". Lineage: Bacteria; Pseudomonadati; Pseudomonadota; Alphaproteobacteria; Hyphomicrobiales; Methylobacteriaceae. The record is from RNAcentral.
GCAGCUACCUCCGGAAUGCUCGUUCCACCUCAUUGGUAAUGAGGAGGUCGACAGUUCAAUCCUGUCCAGCAGCACCA